This 400-nucleotide ribosomal RNA is filed under the name uncultured bacterium. RNAcentral describes it as "bacterial SSU rRNA". It matches the Rfam family "Bacterial small subunit ribosomal RNA", at positions 355 to 747 of the family's 1533-position model. The record is from RNAcentral.
UGGGGAAUAUUGGACAAUGGGCGAAAGCCUGAUCCAGCAAUGCCGCGUGUGUGAAGAAGGCCUGCGGGUUGUAAAGCACUUUCAGUGGGAAAGAAAAGCCUGGGGCUAAUACCCCUGGGUCUUGACGUUACUCACAGAAGAAGCACCGGCUAACUCCGUGCCAGCAGCCGCGGUAAUACGGAGGGUGCAAGCGUUAAUCGGAAUCACUGGGCGUAAAGCGCACGUAGGCGGCUUGGUCAGUCAGAUGUGAAAGCCCCGGGCUUAACCUGGGAACUGCAUUUGAUACUGCCGAGCUAGAGUCUGAAAGAGGGGGGUGGAAUUCCAGGUGUAGCGGUGAAAUGCGUAGAGAUCUGGAGGAACACCAGUGGCGAAGGCGGCCCCCUGGUUCAAGACUGACGCU